RNAcentral lists this ribosomal RNA (1372 nucleotides) under uncultured bacterium. Its description in RNAcentral is "bacterial SSU rRNA". It matches the Rfam family "Bacterial small subunit ribosomal RNA", at positions 28 to 1381 of the family's 1533-position model. The record is from RNAcentral.
GAUGAACGCUGGCGGCGUGCCUAAUACAUGCAAGUCGAGCGAACGGACGAGAAGCUUGCUUCUCUGAUGUUAGCGGCGGACGGGUGAGUAACACGUGGAUAACCUACCUAUAAGACUGGGAUAACUUCGGGAAACCGGAGCUAAUACCGGAUAAUAUUUUGAACCGCAUGGUUCAAAAGUGAAAGACGGUCUUGCUGUCACUUAUAGAUGGAUCCGCGCUGCAUUAGCUAGUUGGUAAGGUAACGGCUUACCAAGGCAACGAUGCAUAGCCGACCUGAGAGGGUGAUCGGCCACACUGGAACUGAGACACGGUCCAGACUCCUACGGGAGGCAGCAGUAGGGAAUCUUCCGCAAUGGGCGAAAGCCUGACGGAGCAACGCCGCGUGAGUGAUGAAGGUCUUCGGAUCGUAAAACUCUGUUAUUAGGGAAGAACAUAUGUGUAAGUAACUGUGCACAUCUUGACGGUACCUAAUCAGAAAGCCACGGCUAACUACGUGCCAGCAGCCGCGGUAAUACGUAGGUGGCAAGCGUUAUCCGGAAUUAUUGGGCGUAAAGCGCGCGUAGACGGUUUUUUAAGUCUGAUGUGAAAGCCCACGGCUCAACCGUGGAGGGUCAUUGGAAACUGGAAAACUUGAGUGCAGAAGAGGAAAGUGGAAUUCCAUGUGUAGCGGUGAAAUGCGCAGAGAUAUGGAGGAACACCAGUGGCGAAGGCGACUUUCUGGUCUGUAACUGACGCUGAUGUGCGAAAGCGUGGGGAUCAAACAGGAUUAGAUACCCUGGUAGUCCACGCCGUAAACGAUGAGUGCUAAGUGUUAGGGGGUUUCCGCCCCUUAGUGCUGCAGCUAACGCAUUAAGCACUCCGCCUGGGGAGUACGACCGCAAGGUUGAAACUCAAAGGAAUUGACGGGGACCCGCACAAGCGGUGGAGCAUGUGGUUUAAUUCGAAGCAACGCGAAGAACCUUACCAAAUCUUGACAUCCUUUGACAACUCUAGAGAUAGAGCUUUCCCCUUCGGGGGACAAAGUGACAGGUGGUGCAUGGUUGUCGUCAGCUCGUGUCGUGAGAUGUUGGGUUAAGUCCCGCAACGAGCGCAACCCUUAAGCUUAGUUGCCAUCAUUAAGUUGGGCACUCUAAGUUGACUGCCGGUGACAAACCGGAGGAAGGUGGGGAUGACGUCAAACCAUCAUGCCCCUUAUGAUUUGGGCUACACACGUGCUACAAUGGACAAUACAAAGGGCAGCGAAACCGCGAGGUCAAGCAAAUCCCAUAAAGUUGUUCUCAGUUCGGAUUGUAGUCUGCAACUCGACUAUAUGAAGCUGGAAUCGCUAGUAAUCGUAGAUCAGCAUGCUACGGUGAAUACGUUCCCGGGUCU